UCCUCAAAAAUUUAUCCCCAUCAAUAAAUACCUCUAGACAGUGCAUCCAUUGCUAUAAUUCCUUACUUUUUAAUUUUUCCUAUUAAUUUUUCUAAAAAUUGUGACAAUUCUCCUGUUUGCUUUUUCAGGCUUCAAUACAAUGCAAUUUAUACAAUUCAUCUACUGUUUCUCAUUAUGAUCAACCAGUUGUGCCAAAGAUUGCAUAUGAUUUCUUGGGCGAUAUUUUUGAUCACAUGUAUCAAAACAAAAAUAAAAGAAAUGAAUUAAACAAGCACAAUAAUUCAUUAGAACCUCCUGAUGUGGUUUCUGAUAAAGCAUCUCAAUAAAAAUUUUGUAAUUUUCCUAAAGCUAAGUAUUACUUAUUAUUUUGUCACAGACGUGUAUUUUUACUGUCAUAUUUUUUGGUCUGUUUCCAAAAUUGUAGCUUAUUGUU
This is a long non-coding RNA of Amphimedon queenslandica, 433 nucleotides long. RefSeq lists it as uncharacterized. The record is from RefSeq and is a predicted model, not a curated record. NCBI's taxonomy places the organism in Eukaryota, Metazoa, Porifera, Demospongiae, Haplosclerida, Niphatidae. The transcript has 3 exons.